Molecule: long non-coding RNA, 309 nt
Organism: Salvia splendens (bonfire salvia)
Lineage: Eukaryota; Viridiplantae; Streptophyta; Magnoliopsida; Lamiales; Lamiaceae
Exons: 4
Source: RefSeq, a predicted model, not a curated record
UCUGGAUGGAAGUAUACAUAAUUGCCCAAUGAGUUUUUUACAUUAUGCAGGUUAGCCUGUCACUGAAUAUAUCAGCAAAUUUAGAGUCAUUGUUCACGUGGAACACGAAGCAGGUGUUUGUAUGGAACCCCCAAAAAUGCACUUAACCAGAUCUCCCAAUGGGACGGUAUAAUACCUUCCAGAGAGCAUGCAAAGUUUUGGAUCAAUACAUCUAACAAACAUCGGUUUGUUGAUCAAGGGAGCAAUCUGCGGGGCAAAGAGUUUAACUUAACGUUGCGUUGCAUUGGCAUGUGAUGCCGAAGACGGGGA